CUAAAAGGGAGACUACUCCGAAUUAAUCCCAGUAACCCCUAACAAAACAGAAAAAUGAGUGCUGUGCAAGAACCUUCAGCUUUGACAACUUCAGAAGUUGAUUUAUCAACAGUACGGGUUGUGUUAGUUUUAAAUGGCUUACAAGUUACAUCUGGAAUAUUUAAAAAAACUAAACCUAAAAAUGGAUCGGUCAAUGUAGAAUUUGGAGAAAGAUCUUUUACAAUGACGGCAGAAAUUAAAGAUAAGAAAGGCAUUCCCACAAAUUAUGUACAAAAAAUUAAGAAAUUACCAGGAGAAAUAGAUAAAGAUGCUUGCAGUUUGGAGUAUAAGAAAGAUCAAGUAAUUAUUAUAUUAAAGAAGAAAGAGGAAAUAUCGUGGGCUGUACAGUUAUCAACAUCAGGAUUAGAACAAGAUGAAGACGAGUAAUAAUAGAUAGGACAGUCAUCAAACUUAAACAGAUCGGAGAUAUAUCAUAAGCACCAACUUGACUUAUAAACACUGACUUAUGUCACCUUUGCGAUUGUGACAACUGAAUGCAACUGUGAGUUACAUAAAAAAGCAACAUAAUCUGUCUUGUGAUGCAAUGUGAAUGUGAAAAAAGCCAGUUGCAGUUAGUUGCACAUAUUAGUUUCACUCAAUCACAUCAGAUGACAAGGGUGACGUAAGUGGGGCGUUAGACCAUGUGUUCGGUGACUAAAACAUUCCAAACAGCUUAAAACAACAGAACAUUGUAGUGGGAUAAAUUAUUUCAAUGGCACAGAACACAAUGAAAUACAAUUACUGUUUAUUAUAUUGUGUGAUGUGAGUAUUGCUU
Molecule: long non-coding RNA, 814 nt
Organism: Patella vulgata (common limpet)
Lineage: Eukaryota; Metazoa; Mollusca; Gastropoda; Patellidae
Exons: 4
Source: RefSeq, a predicted model, not a curated record